GUGAGAACCCUUUUCGUAGAAAGCACAAGCCCCGUCGACGUUCAUUUACCUUCAGCCAGCAGUGGUGUGCACCGCUACCACCACGACGUUCCUCACCGUUCCUCGAUCAAAACCCCUCCUCUUAUUCAUCGAAAACCAUCGCCAAUCGACAUGGAAAACUCGGUGAAGCUCCGUCGAAACCCACCGUUAUUUUUUUUCACGAUUUAGACCACCGUGAGCGUUCAUAGGUCGCGUCACCGCCGCCAUUCGACUUAUCGUCCCAUCCCGGUCAAAACUCGACCAACCUUGCCCCGGAUAAUGUUGUCGUUCACCGUAAAUUAGUCAGAAAAAUCUAUUCGAAAAACCCCAACCCCGCCACUGUUAUUGUGCCUUUCAGCUGAUUUUGUCGUCGGUUUGCCUCACUGCCACAACCAUCGAGUUCCCCGACCUGUUCUGGCCAAAACCCAAUCGAUAUCUUUCCCUCCUGUCACCAUUUCCUCCGUCCGCAGUGAAGGGUACCCGUGUUUCUUCUGACCCGUCGAAUGCCCAGCCCAACUCCUCUCGUCUCGUCCGACAAUUGAGACCAGUGUUCAGUAGAUCUCUCAACCCGACCCAUUUUGCAAGGUGUGUUCCUUGUGUGCUACAUAUAUGUUUUUAAAUAUCUGUAUGAAUCAA
This is a long non-coding RNA of Hibiscus syriacus, 654 nucleotides long. RefSeq lists it as uncharacterized. The transcript is spliced from 3 exons. The record is from RefSeq and is a predicted model, not a curated record. NCBI's taxonomy places the organism in Eukaryota, Viridiplantae, Streptophyta, Magnoliopsida, Malvales, Malvaceae.